GACGAACGCUGGCGGCGUGCCUAAUACAUGCAAGUUGAGCGCUGAAGGUUGGUACUUGUACCAACUGGAUGAGCAGCGAACGGGUGAGUAACGCGUGGGGAAUCUGCCUUUGAGCGGGGGACAACAUUUGGAAACGAAUGCUAAUACCGCAUAAAAACUUUAAACACAAGUUUUAAGUUUGAAAGAUGCAAUUGCAUCACUCAAAGAUGAUCCCGCGUUGUAUUAGCUAGUUGGUGAGGUAAAGGCUCACCAAGGCGAUGAUACAUAGCCGACCUGAGGGGGUGAUCGGCCACAUUGGGACUGAGACACGGCCCAAACUCCUACGGGAGGCAGCAGUAGGGAAUCUUCGGCAAUGGACGAAAGUCUGAACGAGCAACGCCGCGUGAGUGAAGAAGGUUUUCGGAUCGUAAAACUCUGUUGGUAGAGAAGAACGUUGGUGAGAGUGGAAAGCUCAUCAAGUGACGGUAACUACCCAGAAAGGGACGGCUAACUACGUG
RNAcentral lists this ribosomal RNA (497 nucleotides) under uncultured bacterium. Its description in RNAcentral is "partial 16S ribosomal RNA". It matches the Rfam family "Bacterial small subunit ribosomal RNA", at positions 28 to 507 of the family's 1533-position model. The record is from RNAcentral.